GCUUUUAAUUACCAUGUAGGAAGCGCCGGUUCUCGUCCGAUCACCGAAGUUAACUACAUAUGGCUGGGUUAGUACCUGCGUGGCUGACCGGCUGGGAAUACCCGGUGUUGCUGACU
Molecule: ribosomal RNA, 116 nt
Filed under: Rodentolepis nana
Lineage: Eukaryota; Metazoa; Platyhelminthes; Cestoda; Cyclophyllidea; Hymenolepididae
Source: RNAcentral